Molecule: unclassified non-coding RNA, 342 nt
Filed under: soil metagenome
Description: partial contains 5.8S ribosomal RNA, internal transcribed spacer 2, and large subunit ribosomal RNA
Rfam family: 5.8S ribosomal RNA (bases 1-119)
Source: RNAcentral
GAUGAAGAACGUAGCGAAAUGCGAUACGUAAUGUGAAUUGCAAAUUCAGUGAAUCAUCGAAUCUUUGAACGCACAUUGCGCCCGCCAGCAUUCUGGCGGGCAUGCCUGUUCGAGCGUCAUUUCAACCCUCGAGCCCCCCCGGGGGCCUCGGUGUUGGGGGACGGCACACCAGCCGCCCCCGAAAUGCAGUGGCGACCCCGCCGCAGCCUCCCCUGCGUAGUAGCACACACCUCGCACCGGAGCGCGGAGGCGGUCACGCCGUAAAACGCCCAACUUUCUUAGAGUUGACCUCGGAUCAGGUAGGAAUACCCGCUGAACUUAAGCAUAUCAAUAAGCGGAGGA